AGCGAACGCUGGCGGCAGGCCUAACACAUGCAAGUCGAACGAACUCUUCGGAGUUAGUGGCGGUCGGGUGUGUCACACGGCGGAACGUGCCUUUAGGCUCGGAAUAACACAGGGUAACUUGUGCUAAUACCGAAUGUGCCCUUCUGGGGAAAGAUAUAUCGCAUUUGGAGCGGCACGCGUCCGUUUAGCUUGUUGGUGAGGUAAAGGCCCAUCAAGGCGUCGAUCAGUAGCUGGGCUGAGAGGAUGAGCAGCCACAUUGGGACUGAGACACGGCCCAAACUCCUACGCGAUGCAGCAGUGGGUAAUCUUGCGCAAUGGGCGAAAGCCUGAAGCAGCCAGGCCUGGUGAAUGAUGAAGGUCGGAGGAUAGUAAAAUUCUUUCACCGGGGACGAUAAUGACGGUACCCGGAGAAGAAGCCCCGGCUAACUUCGUG
RNAcentral lists this ribosomal RNA (433 nucleotides) under uncultured bacterium. RNAcentral's name for it is "partial 16S ribosomal RNA". It matches the Rfam family "Bacterial small subunit ribosomal RNA", at positions 29 to 507 of the family's 1533-position model. The record is from RNAcentral.